Molecule: ribosomal RNA, 200 nt
Filed under: uncultured bacterium
Lineage: Bacteria
Description: partial 16S ribosomal RNA
Rfam family: Bacterial small subunit ribosomal RNA
Source: RNAcentral
AUUCCUACGGGAGGCAGCAGUGGGGAAUUUUGGACAAUGGGCGCAAGCCUGAUCCAGCAAUGCCGCGUGCAGGAAGAAGGCCUUCGGGUUGUAAACUGCUUUUGUCAGGGAAGAAAUCUUCUGGGUUAAUACCUCGGGAGGAUGACGGUACCUGAAGAAUAAGCACCGGCUAACUACGUGCCAGCAGCCGCGGUAAUAAU